GAAGAACCGGCCAGCCGCAAGCGUAGCAGCCCUAGUCCGAGCCCUAAAGCCAAGAAGCGGCGUGUGCAAAAAGAGGCGGCAUCCUCGCAGAAUCCCCAUAGGAGGACUCGUCGUGCAGAACGCUCUAAAGCCAAACUGGUGAGCCGUGCCCGUCGUCGAAGGUGCCCAGCGGAAGCCGUGCAGUCCGACACCAGAUGUGUUCGAGAAGUCCAACCGGUGCACCGGUGGCUUGCCCUCUCCCCAUUCUUUACGAAGCAAAGCCAUGCAGCACAGACGAGUGGGAUUGGCUCUUCGUGGACGUCUACGACCUGCCACCCGACGCCCCUGUGCCUGACCCGGACUUGUCGUUUCUUGAACAACACUGAGCUGUGUGAUUAUUCUAUUGGAGUUUUUACUCUUUUA
Dermacentor albipictus is the source of this 402-nucleotide non-coding RNA. Lineage: Eukaryota; Metazoa; Arthropoda; Arachnida; Ixodida; Ixodidae. The record is from RefSeq and is a predicted model, not a curated record.